UCCCCGAUUUCCGGGGCAGUCUCAUUAGAGUGCCCAACUGAAUGUAGCAACUAAUGACAAGGGUUGCGCUCGUUGCGGGACUUAACCCAACAUCUCACGACACGAGCUGACGACAGCCAUGCAGCACCUGUGUCCAGAUUCUCUUUCGAGCACUCCCGAAUCUCUCAGCAGGGUUCCGGACAUGUCAAGGGUAGGUAAGGUUGUUCGCGUUGCAUCGAAUUAAUCCACAUCAUCCACCGCUUGUGCGGGUCCCCGUCAAUUCCUUUGAGUUUUAACCUUGCGGCCGUACUCCCCAGGCGGUCAACUUCACGCGUUAGCUACGGUACCAAGGAAUCGCUUCCCCAACACCCAGUUGACAUCGUUUAGGGCGUGGACUAC
Molecule: unclassified non-coding RNA, 378 nt
Filed under: uncultured Gammaproteobacteria bacterium
Lineage: Bacteria; Pseudomonadati; Pseudomonadota; Gammaproteobacteria
Description: contains 16S-23S intergenic spacer region
Source: RNAcentral